UACGGAGGAUCCGAGCGUUAUCCGGAAUCAUUGGGUUUAAAGGGUCCGUAGGCGGGUUAGUAAGUCAGUGGUGAAAUCCGGCAGCUUAACUGUCGAAUUGCCGUUGAUACUGCUAAUCUUGAAUUACUGUGAAGUGGUUAGAAUAUGUAGUGUAGCGGUGAAAUGCUUAGAUAUUACAUGGAAUACCAAUUGCGAAGGCAGAUCACUAACAGUAUAUUGACGCUGAUGGACGAAAGCGUGGGGAGCAAACAGG
This 253-nucleotide ribosomal RNA is filed under the name uncultured bacterium. RNAcentral's name for it is "partial 16S ribosomal RNA". It matches the Rfam family "Bacterial small subunit ribosomal RNA", at positions 524 to 776 of the family's 1533-position model. The record is from RNAcentral.